This 283-nucleotide ribosomal RNA is filed under the name uncultured Actinomycetes bacterium. RNAcentral describes it as "uncultured actinobacterium partial 16S ribosomal RNA". It matches the Rfam family "Bacterial small subunit ribosomal RNA", at positions 433 to 732 of the family's 1533-position model. Lineage: Bacteria; Bacillati; Actinomycetota; Actinomycetes. RNAcentral also lists the same sequence under 1 other name. The record is from RNAcentral.
CUUUCAGUAGGGACGAAAAUGACGGUACCUGCAGAAGAAGCUCCGGCCAACUACGUGCCAGCAGCCGCGGUUAUACGUAGGGAGCAAGCGUUGUCCGGAAUUACUGGGCGUAAAGGGCUCGUAGGUGGUUGAGUAAGUCAGAUGUGAAAUCUCAGGGCCCAACCCUGAGCCUGCAUUUGAUACUGCUCUGACUAGAGUCCGGUAGGGGAGUGCGGAACUCCUGGUGUAGCGGUGAAAUGCGCAGAUAACAGGAAGAACACCGACAGCGAAGGUAGCACUCUGG